GCGCAGCAGUCGCGAAUUUUUCACAAUGGGGGAAACCCUGAUGGAGCGACGCCGCGUGGAGGAUGAAGGCCUUUUGGUCGUAAACUCCUGUCAAACGGGAACAAGAAAGUGAUAGUACCGUUAGAGGAAGAGACGGCUAACUCUGUGCCAGCAGCCGCGGUGAUACAGAGGUCUCAAGCGUUGUUCGGAUUCAUUGGGCGUAAAGGGUGCGUAGGUGGCAUGGUAAGUUGAAGGUGAAAUCUCGGAGCUUAACUCCGAAACUGCCUUCAAUACUGCUGUGCUUGAGGACUGUAGAGGAGAAUGGAAUUCAUGGUGUAGCAGUGAAAUGCGUAGAUAUCAUGAGGAAGACCAGUGGCGAAGGCGAUUCUCUGGGCAGUUCCUGACACUGAGGCACGAAGGCUAGGGGAGCAAACGGGAUUAGAUACCCCCG
RNAcentral lists this ribosomal RNA (430 nucleotides) under uncultured organism. RNAcentral describes it as "bacterial SSU rRNA". It matches the Rfam family "Bacterial small subunit ribosomal RNA", at positions 346 to 790 of the family's 1533-position model. The record is from RNAcentral.